UACGGGGGGAGCAAGCGUUGUUCGGAUUUACUGGGCGUAAAGGGCGCGUAGGCGGCGCAACAAGUCACUUGUGAAAUCUCCGGGCUUAACCCGGAGCGGCCAAGUGAUACUGUCGUGCUAGAGUGCGGAAGGGGCUACUGGAAUUCUCGGUGUAGCGGUGAAAUGCGUAGAUAUCGAGAGGAACACCUGCGGCGAAGGCGGGUAGCUGGGCCGACACUGACGCUGAGGCGCGAAAGCCAGGGGGGCGAACGGG
Molecule: ribosomal RNA, 253 nt
Filed under: uncultured bacterium
Lineage: Bacteria
Description: partial 16S ribosomal RNA
Rfam family: Bacterial small subunit ribosomal RNA
Source: RNAcentral